This 253-nucleotide ribosomal RNA is filed under the name uncultured bacterium. RNAcentral's name for it is "partial 16S ribosomal RNA". It matches the Rfam family "Bacterial small subunit ribosomal RNA", at positions 524 to 776 of the family's 1533-position model. The record is from RNAcentral.
UACGUAGGGCGCAAGCGUUGUCCGGAAUUAUUGGGCGUAAAGAGCUCGUAGGCGGUUUGUCGCGUCUGUCGUGAAAGCUUGGGGCUUAACCCCAAGUCUGCGGUGGAUACGGGCAGACUAGAGGCAGGUAGGGGAGAACGGAAUUCCCGGUGUAGCGGUGAAAUGCGUAGAUAUCGGAAGGAACACCAGUGGCGAAAGCGGCUUCCUGGUCCAGCACCGACGUUCAGGCACGAAAGCGUGGGGAGCAAACAGG